RNAcentral lists this long non-coding RNA (216 nucleotides) under Manihot esculenta (cassava). Its description in RNAcentral is "long non-coding RNA (MESC_LNC004039)". The record is from RNAcentral. Lineage: Eukaryota; Viridiplantae; Streptophyta; Magnoliopsida; Malpighiales; Euphorbiaceae.
UCAGAUUCACUUUAGUUGAUGGGAUUGGUCAUUGACUCAUAUGUUCCUUUGUUGAUUCAAUAAAUUGGCCAUGGAGAUUGAAGAAACUUCUCACAUCCAUUGUCUCUCUUUAAGAUUAAAUCAAUUAGGGAAAGUCCUCCAAUUAAUUACUAAUUAACAAUUGCCAAAGAACGUCUUUGAGCCUUAGGCCUUUUACAAUAGUCAAUCGCAUAAAGA